CAUGUCUUUAUGAUAAUAAUUUAAAGUCUAAUCUGCUCAAUGAUUAUUUAAAUAGCCGCAGUAUUUUGACUGUGCAAAGGUAGCAUAAUAAUUAGUUUCUUUAUUGGGAGCUAGAAUGAAUGAUUGGACGAGAUGAUUUCUGUCUCUUUUUAAUUUUUUUUGAAUUUAAUUUUUAAGUUAAAAAGCUUAAAUUUGUAUAAAAGACGAGAAGACCCUAUAGAGUUUAAUAUUAUUUAUUAAUUGGUUUUUAGAAUUUUUUUUAUUAUUUAGUAUUUGGUUGGGGUGACUAGGAGAUUAAAAUAAUUCUUUUAUUAUAAGUUGUUGAUAAAUAAAUAAUAAAUCUAUUUUUUUAAAUUAAAUAUAAAUUACCUUAGGGAUAACAGCGUAAUUUUUUUUAAAAGUUCUUAUUGUAAGAAAAGUUUGCGACCUCGAUGUUGGAUUAAAAUUAAAUUUUGGUGUAGAAGCUAAAAAUUUUGGUCUGUUCGACCAUUGAAAUUUUACAUGAUCUGAGUUUAGACCGGCGUAAGCCAGGUCGGAUUCUAUCUUUAAUUAAUUAAAAAUUCUUAGUACGAAAGGACCAGGGUUUUAUUAAAUAUUAAUUG
This 602-nucleotide ribosomal RNA is filed under the name Eurrhacini sp. UPOL A00648. RNAcentral describes it as "partial 16S ribosomal RNA". It matches the Rfam family "Bacterial large subunit ribosomal RNA", at positions 1816 to 2716 of the family's 2925-position model. Lineage: Eukaryota; Metazoa; Arthropoda; Insecta; Coleoptera; Lycidae. The record is from RNAcentral.